CUCUUAUUGAAUUCAAGCAAUCAGUUGAAAAGUAAAAAAAAAAUAAUAAUAAAGCAAAAGGCUAAGAGUAAAAGAAAAAAAGAGUAUGAUUAGAGAAAAAAAUUUCCCAUAUAUAAUUAAUCAACAGAAAUAUCAUACAUAUCAAACUGCCUGUAAGCAAAUAUACUCCAUUCACCUUUUCCAUAUAGGUUUCAGCACAUGGUCCCUAAACUUCCAUCUGACCUCUCAUGUGAUCAAAAAGAUCCCUUUUCCUUUCUUUUUUCAAUGUAUUUAAUUUGAGAGGACACAGUCUAGCGUUUGCUUUAGCAAUAUGAAACUCUUUGAAAGAACGAUUGCAACUAUGAUAAGAACAUAUAUGCAACCAACUCAAAAAAGCACUUGAGCUGUAUACUUCUGGUGGAUACAUUUUUUUAAUAUAUAUUAUAAUCCCAAAAAUGUGAUGUAAGAUGGGUUUCCAUACAGUAUAAUGUGGCCAUUUCCAAAGACAAGCACUAGCACUCUUCAUGAAGAAUAUCAUAAAAAACAGGAACAAACAGCUAAAUAAAUUACUCCCUUCAAAACUUGUGGCAUGAGAAACUAGAUCCUAUCUUCCUAUGAUGGGCAUAGUCCAUUGCAUAAGCACAAUUUUCAAUGUCUACCUUGUAGCUAUGCCGUGCCAUGUCUGAACAUAAGGGCACUGAAAAAAAAUUUUGUGUUAUUUAACCUGGACAUUGAAGUUCAAUUGAACUUCAUCAUGUAUUCAAAAUACACAUCUACAAAGAAAAAUAACAAAUCCAGAUAUAAUAUAGGAAGUUCCAAGUCAAUCUUAUCAGAUUUUAAUCCCAAAUAUAAAAUUGGAUAAAAAACCAUCUUCUGUCCCAUACAAGAAGGCGCAUUGAAGACCAUGCAAAUUAAGCAAGAACUUGACAAAGCAAAAAUCAAAAGCAUGUGAAAUGUAAUAUUAUGAGCAGGGCUUGAAAUAAUCAAGCAGUUUGAUAGUAGCAAUAUAACUAUCAGCAAUCACAAUUCCAUCAUUUAUAAGCAAGAAAGAGAAACACAUGGUCCAUGUAAUUAUCACAAAGGGUAAAAUAAGCCAUUAAAUCUAGAAUUCAGUAGAUAUACUCAUUUUUUUUCCUUCUAACAGAGCAUCAACACAAGCUACAUAUACAUCCAACAUAAAGUCAAUCACAGGUGCAACACCAAGUUCAGGAUAUCAACCAACCCAAUCAUCAUUAAAAUUCAAAACCACCAAGCCAGUAACCCAAUUUUCACUCAUUUAAUUACUCAGAAACCACAUGAAGUUGCCCUGAUUUCAUCUUGUGAUUUAACUGUCCAAUAAAAAAAAAAGACCAAAAGUCUAAGCAAACAUAGAUCGAUAAGCCAAUAAAAGAACAAAAAGAAAGAACUAGACCCUAUCAUUAUGAUCCAUUUUUUUGUUAAGGGAAUUGCAAUAAAAUCAUCUAUAUGGGUUGGAAAUUGAAAUUUUUUAUAACAGAACAAUAUGAUAUUAACUUCUUAACAUAAAUGGAGGGACAAGAUAGUAAAAUACGAGAAUGAUUGAUACAACUUGGGAAAGUGUAUAUACAAAUAUUGAUGAUAUUUAUACUUGGUAUAUAAGAUUCUUUUUCUUUUUUUUGUGAAAUAUUUAUAGAAUGCACAAUUGCACACCAUUCAACAGAAUGUAUAAAAGAUAUAACAGAAAAUAAAUGCUUCCAAAAAGAAACUGAUGACAUUACAAACACAAACCAAACUAAUGAUCUUAUUUGGAACAAUUUUGGAAAUUGAACCACAUAAAAUCACUUGCGAAUGUAAUAUAUUAGGCCAACAAUGACUUGCCUCAAUGACAAGAGCAACACUUAGCACAGUAUUUGAAGGAUUCAAAUUUAUAUAACAUGAAAAUGAGAAAAACAGAUCUGAUAUACUUUACAGCAGAAAUAUUCACACAUCACAUUCAAUAAAACUCCAGAUUCAUGAAGAUCUCUUUAAGAAAGUAGACAAUAAGAUUGGAUUGAUUCACCACUUAUCAAAAUCUUCAUUAAUAGUUUGUGAAGAAAUAGGAUCGGAGGUUUUCGUCUCAAAACAUGGCGAAAAGAAAGGCAUGCAAUUCUCACAAAGGCUUCAGAUUGUAAUAAAAGACUAAAUUCAAGCUAUAUAUCUUGCAAAUUCCAUUGCAAUCAAUUUUUUUUCUCAUAAAAGCAUGCAUACCUGCCUCUAACACGCUCUUUGAGUGGAUUUUCUGCUUAAUGCCAUUAUCACUUUGGAGGAAGAGGAAAGCAAGAGUCUAAAUAGAUAUGAAAGCAUUGGUUCUUGGGAAUCAUAGUUACAUUUGGCAAUGGGCAUACAAUUAUGAUAUUGCCCAUCUAACAUCCAUAAUUAACAAAUGUACCAUAAAAUAUCUGCGAGAUUUGGCUUGGGCUAAGCCGCAUUCUGUGCACAAUUAGCAUAGAUGUUAUCGUAGACUACACAUUUUUCCAAGAUUAGCCCAUCAGGAGCCACGUUGCCUAUAUUUGUCAAAUUGACAAUGCUGAUGUAACCAUUCGAGAAUGCUAUAGUAAUAUUAAAAAUGCAUACAAAUAUUUGAAUAACAAGUAUGGAAGAGUAUGUGUAUGUGCAUGUGCAUGAGCAUGAGCAUGCGU
RNAcentral lists this unclassified non-coding RNA (2615 nucleotides) under Hevea brasiliensis (rubber tree). The record is from RNAcentral. Lineage: Eukaryota; Viridiplantae; Streptophyta; Magnoliopsida; Malpighiales; Euphorbiaceae.